Molecule: small nucleolar RNA, 122 nt
Filed under: Mus pahari (shrew mouse)
Lineage: Eukaryota; Metazoa; Chordata; Mammalia; Rodentia; Muridae
Description: snoRNA (MGP_PahariEiJ_G0034057.1)
Source: RNAcentral
GCUUCCCCUCCCCAUAGACCACGCGGCCGGUCACGAUGGUGACAAAGACUGAAGAGUACACCAAAGCUGGCCUCACAGCUGUGUGGUGUCGUGUGGAGCGUAUGGGCCAGAUCCAAAUAGGC